This 332-nucleotide ribosomal RNA is filed under the name uncultured eukaryote. RNAcentral describes it as "partial 18S ribosomal RNA". It matches the Rfam family "Eukaryotic small subunit ribosomal RNA", at positions 1470 to 1796 of the family's 1831-position model. The record is from RNAcentral.
CCCUUAGAUGUUCUGGGCCGCACGCGCGCUACACUGUUCGACGCAGCGAGUCUUAACCUUGACCGAAAGGUUUGGGUAAUCUUCAGCAAAGUCGAACGUGAUGGGGAUCGAUCAUUGCAAUUAUUGAUCGUGAACGAGGAAUUCCUAGUAAGUGCAAGUCAUCAGCUUGCGCUGAUUACGUCCCUGCCCUUUGUACACACCGCCCGUCGCUACUACCGAUUGAAUGGUUUAGCGAGAUCUCUGGAUUGACGCUGGCUAGGGGGCGACCCUUGGCCAGACUGCUCGAGAAACUGCUCAAACUUGAUCAUUUAGAGGAAGUAAAAGUCGUAACA